AGGACGAACGCUGGCGGCGUGCUUAACACAUGCAAGUCGAGCGGAAAGGCCCUUCGGGGUACUCGAGCGGCGAACGGGUGAGUAACACGUGAGCAACCUGCCCUUAGCUCCGGGAUAGCUCCGGGAAACCGGAAUUAAUACCGGAUAUGACCUAGGCCGACAUCGGCUGUGGUGGAAAGUUUUUCGGCUGGGGAUGGACUCGCGGCCUAUCAGCUUGUUGGUGGGGUAAUGGCCUACCAAGGCGACGACGGGUAGCCGGCCUGAGAGGGCGACCGGCCACACUGGGACUGAGACACGGCCCAGACUCCUACGGGAGGCAGCAGUGGGGAAUCUUGCGCAAUGGGCGAAAGCCUGACGCAGCGACGCCGCGUGGGGAUGGAAGGCCUUCGGGUUGUAAACCCCUUUCAGCAGGGACGAAGCGAAGUGACGGUACUGCAGAGAGCGCCGGCUAACUACGCGCCAGCAGCCGC
RNAcentral lists this ribosomal RNA (470 nucleotides) under uncultured bacterium. RNAcentral describes it as "SSU rRNA". It matches the Rfam family "Bacterial small subunit ribosomal RNA", at positions 26 to 518 of the family's 1533-position model. The record is from RNAcentral.